CAAUCUGCCCAAUGAAAAAUUAAAUGGCUGCAGUAUAAAUAACUGUACAAAGGUAGCAUAAUAAUUUGUUUUCUAAUUAAAAACUAGAAUGAAAGAUUUCAUGAAAUAUUUACUUUAUUAAAACUAAAAAUUAAACUUAUUAUUUAAGUAAAAAAACUUAAAUAAAUUUAAAAGACAACAAGACCCUAUAAAAUUUUAUUUAAAUUUUUUAUAAAAUUAAUUUUUAUAUUAUUUUAAAUUUAAUUGGGGUAAUUAAAAAAUUAAUUAAACUUUUUUAAACUCAACCAAUAAUUUUUGAGAAAAAUUUCUUAAACUUUAAAAUAUUAAAAUUAAUUACUUUAGGGAUAACAGCAUAA
RNAcentral lists this ribosomal RNA (356 nucleotides) under Allorhogas cordobensis. RNAcentral's name for it is "partial 16S ribosomal RNA". Lineage: Eukaryota; Metazoa; Arthropoda; Insecta; Hymenoptera; Braconidae. The record is from RNAcentral.